UACGUAGGGGGCAAGCGUUGUCCGGAUUUAUUGGGCGUAAAGCGCUCGCAGGUGGUUUGUUACGUCGUGCGUGAAAGACCCCGGCUCAACUGGGGGGUGUCGUGCGAUACGGGCAGACUGGAGGCCAGUAGGGGGAUGCGGAAUUCCGGGUGUAGUGGUGGAAUGCGUAGAGAUCCGGAGGAACACCAGCGGCGAAGGCGGCAUCCUGGACUGGUCCUGACACUCAUGAGCGAAAGCGUGGGGAGCGAUCCGG
RNAcentral lists this ribosomal RNA (253 nucleotides) under uncultured bacterium. Its description in RNAcentral is "partial 16S ribosomal RNA". It matches the Rfam family "Bacterial small subunit ribosomal RNA", at positions 524 to 776 of the family's 1533-position model. The record is from RNAcentral.